ACGGCACUAAUCCUGUGCUGUGUGUCUCCCCGUGGAUUAGUUUUGUAUUGCCUUUUAUUUUCCAACCAGCAAUAAAGCUGCCGUUUUUGAGUUUCACUCCAGUCUUCCGAGAGUCUGCAUUUUGGGUCCUUUUCCUCGUUCCUGCCUGCACACAGCUGAACUAUGACAUUUAGCACUAUGGGGGCGCUAAUGUACAUCUACGCUGGUUGCCAACCACCAUGAACAUUUAAAGAGCAGAAGAAGAAGAAGAAGACACUAAAGAGUUCAGGUGCACGACAUGAGGAUUUAAUGAGACAGCUUUUAUCUUACUGCUUUCGUGGAAGAUCAGGGGAUGGCGGCAACAAGGCCACGGAGAGCUAAAAUAAAUCCCAGACAAGAUGCUAGGUAUUACUGCUCCUUAGGUGAAGACAAGGCAGGAUUUGAUGUGAGGUAUAUUGAUUCAUUUAAAGGUCGCGGUGUGUUCAGCUGUCGGUCAUUUCAAAAGGGAGAUUUUCUUUUUGAGUACAGAGGACAAAUCAUAACUAAAGAGGAACAAGAAAACCGAAUGAAACUUUACCAUGAUGCACUCAAGGUUUUCAUAUUUGAUUUCAAGUUCAAUGGAAAACAGUUAUGUGUUGAUGCUGCCAGAGAGGACGGCUCACUUGGCAGACUUGUAAAUGACGAUAAUGUGAAUCCAAACAGUAAAAUGACAGUUACCAGAGUGGAUGGAAG
Long non-coding RNA from Oreochromis niloticus (Nile tilapia), 711 nucleotides. RefSeq lists it as uncharacterized. The record is from RefSeq and is a predicted model, not a curated record. NCBI's taxonomy places the organism in Eukaryota, Metazoa, Chordata, Actinopteri, Cichliformes, Cichlidae. The transcript is spliced from 5 exons.